This 400-nucleotide ribosomal RNA is filed under the name uncultured bacterium. Its description in RNAcentral is "bacterial SSU rRNA". It matches the Rfam family "Bacterial small subunit ribosomal RNA", at positions 355 to 747 of the family's 1533-position model. The record is from RNAcentral.
UGGGGAAUAUUGGACAAUGGGCGAAAGCCUGAUCCAGCAAUGCCGCGUGUGUGAAGAAGGCCUGCGGGUUGUAAAGCACUUUCGGUUGGGAAGAAAAGUUUUUGAUUAAUACCCAAAAACCGUGACACUACCUUCAGAAGAAGCACCGGCUAACUCCGUGCCAGCAGCCGCGGUAAUACGGAGGGUGCGAGCGUUAAUCGGAAUUACUGGGCGUAAAGCGCGCGUAGGCGGUUAAAUAAGUCGGAUGUGAAAGCCCUGGGCUUAACCUAGGAACUGCACUCGAUACUGUUCAACUAGAGUAUGGUAGAGGAAAGCGGAAUUCCCGGUGUAGCGGUGAAAUGCGUAGAUAUCGGGAGGAACAUCAGUGGCGAAGGCGGCUUUCUGGACCAAUACUGACGCU